UAUAUGUUAUCGAUAGUUCCGCGCUCACACUCACGGCACUAACCACUAUAUAUAUAUAUAUAUAUAUACAUAUAUAUACUAUUUGGUUAGUGCCCCAAGGGUCCGGCCACCAAUCCCCACCCUUCAUUCUGCACAUGUUGCGGCAGGUCAGGUUCAUACGCCAAGCCCCGAAAGCAAAAUAAAAUCAUCAAAACGAAUUUUUGUUCCAUCGCACUUCAGAAAGUCAGCGCACCAACACAUACAUUACUUGCAGUGUCCGUGUGAAUCAAAACCGGUUUGGAGCGCUCAAAAAUCAUUGGUUACACGACUUAUGCAAAUGUAGCUGGAACUUCUGGCUGCGUGCUCUACACGCACUUAUACAAAUGUAGCUGAGACUUCUAGCUGCGUGUUCUACACGCACUAAUUCUUGUAGCUGCGACGUUGGCAGAGGCCUGGGACUUCGAGACGCACAUUCAGCGGUGACGUUUCGCUUGGCUCAAAUUAACAAUCUACUAUACUAUUUGGUUAGUGUUAGUGCUCACGGUGACCAUUUAAGGUAUAUUAAAUACUUUUCCGGAUAUUUUUUUAGGAUACAUUUAAGAAUAUUUUUUCAGGAUACAUUCCGGUUGACAAGCAACAAAUUGUCAAAUUGUUC
This 634-nucleotide long non-coding RNA is filed under the name Drosophila guanche. Lineage: Eukaryota; Metazoa; Arthropoda; Insecta; Diptera; Drosophilidae. The record is from RNAcentral.